Molecule: transfer RNA, 70 nt
Filed under: Dipodomys ordii (Ord's kangaroo rat)
Lineage: Eukaryota; Metazoa; Chordata; Mammalia; Rodentia; Heteromyidae
Rfam family: tRNA
About the family: Transfer RNA (tRNA) molecules are approximately 80 nucleotides in length.
Source: Rfam by way of RNAcentral
GGGAAUGUGGCUCAGUGGUAGAGUGCUUGCCUAGUAUGCAUGAAGUCCUGGGUUCGAUUCCUCAGUACCA